ACUCAAAUGAAUUGACGGGGACCCGCACAAGCGGUGGAGCAUGUGGUUUAAUUCGAUAAUCCGCGAAAAACCUUACCAGCUCUUGACAUGGAAGUCGCGAGCUCGAGAGAUCGAGCUUUUCGGUUCGGCCGGACUUCGCACAGGUGGUGCAUGGCUGUCGUCAGCUCGUGUCGUGAGAUGUUGGGUUAAGUCCUUUAACGGGCGCAACCCCUAUCUUUAGUUGCUAACAGGUAAAGCUGAGAACUUUAAAGAGACUGCCAGUGAUAAACUGGAGGAAGGUGGGGAUGAUGUCAAGUCCUCAUGCCCCUUAUGAGCUGGGCUACACACGUGCUACAAUGGUGACUACAAUAGGUUGCAAUGGAGUGAUCCGGAGCCAAUCCUUUAAAAGUCAUCUCAGUUCGGAUUGUUCUCUGCAACUCGAGAACAUGAAGUUGGAAUCGCUAGUAAUCGCAGAUCAGCACGCUGCGGUGAAUACGUUCACGGGUCUUGUACACACCGCCCGU
RNAcentral lists this ribosomal RNA (503 nucleotides) under uncultured bacterium. Its description in RNAcentral is "partial 16S ribosomal RNA". It matches the Rfam family "Bacterial small subunit ribosomal RNA", at positions 899 to 1397 of the family's 1533-position model. The record is from RNAcentral.